ACGGUACCGUGAGAAUAAGCCACGGCUAACUCUGUGCCAGCAGCCGCGGUAAGACAGAGGUGGCAAGCGUUGUUCGGAAUUACUGGGCGUAAAGAGUCUGUAGGUGGUUUGUCAAGUCUUUGGUGAAAGGCCGUAGCUUAACUAUGGGAAUGCCAAAGAGACUGGCAGGCUGGAGGCUGGGAGAGGGAAGCGGAAUUUCUGGUGUAGCGGUGAAAUGCGUAGAUAUCAGAAGGAAGGCCGGUGGCGAAGGCGGCUUCCUGGAACAGUCCUGACACUGAGAGACGAAAGCGUGGGGAGCAAACAGGAUUAGAUACCCUGGUAGUCCACGCCCUAAACGAUGGGUACUAAGUGUAGGAGGGGUU
Molecule: ribosomal RNA, 362 nt
Filed under: uncultured bacterium
Lineage: Bacteria
Description: bacterial SSU rRNA
Rfam family: Bacterial small subunit ribosomal RNA
Source: RNAcentral